CCAAUAGCGUAUAUUAAAGUUGUUGCAGUUAAAAAGCUCGUAGUUGAAUUUCGGGGUUAGUAGGUUGGUCGUGCCACCGGUACGUACUGGUCUUACUGAUUCCUCCUCCCUGAUGGGCUGUAAUGCCUGUAAUUUGGUGGUGCUGGGAAUCUGGACUGUUACUUUGAAAAAAUUAGAGUGUUUAAAGCAGGCUAACGCUUGAAUACAUUAGCAUGGAAAAAUGAAAUAGGACGUUCGAUCCUAUUUUGUUGGUUUCUAGGAUUGACGUAAUGAUUAAUAGGGAUAGUUGGGGGCAUUAGUAUUCAAUUGUCAGAGGUGAAAUUCUUGGAUUUAUUGAAGACUAACUACUGCGAAAGCAUUUGCCAAGGAUGUUUUCAUUAAUCAAGAACGAAAGUUAGGGGAUCGAAGACGAUCAGAUACCGUCGUAGUCUUAACCAUAAACUAUGCCGACUAGGGAUCAGAUGAUGUUAAUUUUUUAAUGACUCGUUCGGCACCUUACG
RNAcentral lists this ribosomal RNA (500 nucleotides) under uncultured Glomeromycotina. Its description in RNAcentral is "partial small subunit ribosomal RNA". It matches the Rfam family "Eukaryotic small subunit ribosomal RNA", at positions 591 to 1092 of the family's 1831-position model. The record is from RNAcentral. Lineage: Eukaryota; Fungi; Glomeromycota.